Molecule: unclassified non-coding RNA, 298 nt
Filed under: Hevea brasiliensis (rubber tree)
Lineage: Eukaryota; Viridiplantae; Streptophyta; Magnoliopsida; Malpighiales; Euphorbiaceae
Source: RNAcentral
GCUUUCAUUUUUCCUUUCAAAGAGUGAUGCUAGAACAGCUGUAGUUACGGCUCCAAUGGCAAACCCAUAGGCCACAAGAACAUAAACACUCAUGCCUUUAUCCAAGUAAACCUUGGAGAUGAUGUUAAAUCCUGCCUGGCAGAAAGCAACAAAUAUACUCAAGAGAUAUGGUUUCAUCUUUUCUAAUAACAUUUUUUCUUUCCAAUUUCUUGAACUUCCUCCCCCAACACACUCUUUAGUCUCUUCCAUUUCCAACUCUACUCAGAUCAUGUAAUUUUAGUGGCACGCUACUUGCAAG